GACGAACGCUGGCGGCGUGCCUAAUACAUGCAAGUAGAACGCACAGUUUAUACCGUAGCUUGCUACACCAUAAACUGUGAGUUGCGAACGGGUGAGUAACGCGUAGGUAACCUGCCUGGUAGCGGGGGAUAACUAUUGGAAACGAUAGCUAAUACCGCAUAAUAUUAAUUAUUGCAUGAUAAUUGAUUGAAAGAUGCAAUUGCAUCACUACCAGAUGGACCUGCGUUGUAUUAGCUAGUAGGUGAGGUAACGGCUCACCUAGGCGACGAUACAUAGCCGACCUGAGAGGGUGAUCGGCCACACUGGGACUGAGACACGGCCCAGACCCCUGCGGGGGGCAGCAGUAGGGAAUCUUCGGCAAUGGACGAAAGUCUGACCGAGCAACGCCGCGUGAGUGAAGAAGGUUUUCGGAUCGUAAAGCUCUGUUGUAAGAGAAGAACGGGUGUGAGAGUGGAAAGUUCACACUGUGACGGUAUCUUACCAGAAAGGGACGGCUAACUACGUG
Molecule: ribosomal RNA, 505 nt
Filed under: uncultured bacterium
Lineage: Bacteria
Description: partial 16S ribosomal RNA
Rfam family: Bacterial small subunit ribosomal RNA
Source: RNAcentral